UGCAAGUCGAGGGGAAACACGGGGAAGCUUGCUUCCCCGGGCGUCGACCGGCGCACGGGUGAGUAACGCGUAUCCAACCUGCCUCUGACUGAGGGAUAACCCGUCGAAAGUCGGCCUAAUACCUCAUGGCAUCGUCUGCGGGCAUCCAACGACGAUUAAAGAUUUCAUCGGUCAGGGAUGGGGAUGCGUCUGAUUAGCUAGUUGGCGGGGUAACGGCCCACCAAGGCUACGAUCAGUAGGGGUUCUGAGAGGAAGGUCCCCCACAUUGGAACUGAGACACGGUCCAAACUCCUACGGGAGGCAGCAGUGAGGAAUAUUGGUCAAUGGGCGGGAGCCUGAACCAGCCAAGUAGCGUGCAGGAAGACGGCCCUAUGGGUUGUAAACUGCUUUUAUGCGGGGAUAAAGUGAGGGACGUGUCCUUCAUUGCAGGUACCGCAUGAAUAAGGACCGGCUAAUUCCGUGCCAGCAGCCGCGGUAAUACGGAAGGUCCGGGCGUUAUCCGGAUUUAUUGGGUUUAAAGGGAGCGUAGGCCGCGGAUUAAGCGUGUUGUGAAAUGCAGGUGCUCAACGUCUGCACUGCAGCGCGAACUGGUCCACUAGAGUGUGCGCAACGCAGGCGGAAUUCGUCGUGUAGCGGUGAAAUGCUUAGAUAUGACGAAGAACUCCGAUUGCGAAGGCAGCUUGCGGGAGCAC
This 692-nucleotide ribosomal RNA is filed under the name uncultured Bacteroidales bacterium. RNAcentral describes it as "bacterial SSU rRNA". It matches the Rfam family "Bacterial small subunit ribosomal RNA", at positions 56 to 737 of the family's 1533-position model. Lineage: Bacteria; Pseudomonadati; Bacteroidota; Bacteroidia; Bacteroidales. The record is from RNAcentral.